CGAAAACGCAAUUAAUAGUUCACUUGUGAUAAUAUUUUUCGAAAAAAGUAUUUAUUAGAUAAGAUUUUUUCGAAAGAUGUAAAAGGACAAAUGAACAAAAGAUUUCCGGUGGCAAUAGCGGAGGUUAAAAACCCGUUCCCAUACCGAACACGGAAGUGAAGCCCUCCAGCGCCGAUGGUACUGAUUACUCGGGAGAGUAGGUCGCUGCCGGAA
Molecule: ribosomal RNA, 213 nt
Filed under: Thermohydrogenium kirishiense
Lineage: Bacteria; Bacillati; Bacillota; Clostridia; Eubacteriales; Syntrophomonadaceae
Source: RNAcentral